AGAGUUUGAUCCUGGCUCAGAUUGAACGCUGGCGGCGUGCUUAACACAUGCAAGUCGUGCGAGAAAGGGGACUUCGGUCCCUGAGUAGAGCGGCGCACGGGUGAGUAACGCGUGGAUAAUCUCCCCAGAAGUUCGGGAUAACGGCGGGAAACUGCCGCUAAUACCGGAUACGCUCCAAUUUCGGUUGGGGGAAAGGCGGCCUCUGUUUACAAGCUGUCGCUUCUGGAUGAGUCCGCGUCCCAUUAGCUUGUUGGUGGGGUAAUGGCCUACCAAGGCUACGAUGGGUAGCUGGUCUGAGAGGAUGAUCAGCCACACUGGAACUGAAACACGGUCCAGACUCCUACGGGAGGCAGCAGUGGGGAAUAUUGCGCAAUGGGGGAAACCCUGACGCAGCGACGCCGGGUGAGGGAUGAAGGCUUUC
This 421-nucleotide ribosomal RNA is filed under the name uncultured bacterium. RNAcentral's name for it is "bacterial SSU rRNA". It matches the Rfam family "Bacterial small subunit ribosomal RNA", at positions 8 to 419 of the family's 1533-position model. The record is from RNAcentral.